This 502-nucleotide ribosomal RNA is filed under the name Escherichia coli. RNAcentral describes it as "bacterial LSU rRNA". It matches the Rfam family "Bacterial large subunit ribosomal RNA", at positions 2441 to 2925 of the family's 2925-position model. The record is from RNAcentral. Lineage: Bacteria; Pseudomonadati; Pseudomonadota; Gammaproteobacteria; Enterobacterales; Enterobacteriaceae.
GCCAUCGCUCAACGGAUAAAAGGUACUCCGGUGAUAACAGGCUGAUACCGCCCAAGAGUUCAUAUCGACGGCGGUGUUUGGCACCUCGAUGUCGGCUCAUCACAUCCUGGGGCUGAAGUAGGUCCCAAGGGUAUGGCUGUUCGCCAUUUAAAGUGGUACGCGAGCUGGGUUUAGAACGUCGUGAGACAGUUCGGUCCCUAUCUGCCGUGGGCGCUGGAGAACUGAGGGGGGCUGCUCCUAGUACGAGAGGACCGGAGUGGACGCAUCACUGGUGUUCGGGUUGUCAUGCCAAUGGCACUGCCYGGUAGCUAAAUGCGGAAGAGAUAAGUGCUGAAAGCAUCUAAGCACGAAACUUGCCCCGAGAUGAGUUCUCCCUGACUCCUUGAGAGUCCUGAAGGAACGUUGAAGACGACGACGUUGAUAGGCCGGGUGUGUAAGCGCAGCGAUGCGUUGAGCUAACCGGUACUAAUGAACCGUGAGGCUUAACCUUACAACGCCGAAG